This 18-nucleotide microRNA is filed under the name Callorhinchus milii (elephant shark). RNAcentral's name for it is "eshark_NOVEL_10". The record is from RNAcentral. Lineage: Eukaryota; Metazoa; Chordata; Chondrichthyes; Chimaeriformes; Callorhinchidae.
AGGACUGGAACAGGAGUG